UGUUUGCUUGUAUGUUGUCUACUGCAUUAGAUUAUAAGCUCCUUGAGGGCAAGGAUUGUCUCUUGCUUCUUUUGUAUCCCCAACACUUAGCACAGUGCCUGGCACAUAGAUGGUGUUUACUAAAGUUUACUAAAACUAGAGUUUACUAAAUAGAUGGUGUUUCAAGUCGUGGCAUAUGAUUGUGAUGGAAUACUACUAUGAUGUAAGAAAAAAUGAAUGGGUUAAUUUUUUAUGGAAAGACCUCCAUAAAAUGAUGAAGAGGAACAUGAACAGAACCCAGAGAACAUUAUCUAAGGCAACAGAAAUAUUGAUUGAAAAAUAAUGUAUAUAUGUUCACUUCCAGAGAACUGAUAACUAAAAACAACUCCUCUAGGAUGCACAAGGUACCAUCAUCUAGAGCUCAGUUUCCAGAUUGGGGAGAGACAUCUUUGCUGCCAUCAAGGGACCAAAGAACCAAUGAAGGGUCUGAUUCAUCACCCCAAGCAAGGACAGAGGCUUGCCAGAAGCAAUCAGGGUUCCUAAGUUGCAAGCUCCAUGGAAUUGACUGCAAUCCAACAAUUAUUGCAUAUAUACAUUUUCAUGUAAUUUUCUGGAUACAUUUUGUCUCCCCCUAAUAGAAUGUAAACCCCUUAAGUAGAACUAUUUUAUUUGUUUCUACCAUGCCUACUGUAUAUGAGUUGAUCCAUAAAAAAAUGUUUGUUGGAUGGUUAAAUGGAAAGGUAUCCAUGUCACAGUGCAGUUCUUCC
Molecule: long non-coding RNA, 746 nt
Filed under: Monodelphis domestica (gray short-tailed opossum)
Lineage: Eukaryota; Metazoa; Chordata; Mammalia; Didelphimorphia; Didelphidae
Description: lncRNA (ENSMODG00000041344.1)
Source: RNAcentral